This 255-nucleotide ribosomal RNA is filed under the name Massilia sp. Mn16-1_5. RNAcentral describes it as "partial 16S ribosomal RNA". It matches the Rfam family "Bacterial small subunit ribosomal RNA", at positions 874 to 1126 of the family's 1533-position model. Lineage: Bacteria; Pseudomonadati; Pseudomonadota; Betaproteobacteria; Burkholderiales; Oxalobacteraceae. The record is from RNAcentral.
UGGGGAGUACGGUCGCAAGAUUAAAACUCAAAGGAAUUGACGGGGACCCGCACAAGCGGUGGAUGAUGUGGAUUAAUUCGAUGCAACGCGAAAAACCUUACCUACCCUUGACAUGUCAGGAAGGCCGAAGAGAUUUGGCUGUGCCCGAAAGGGAACCUGAACACAGGUGCUGCAUGGCUGUCGUCAGCUCGUGUCGUGAGAUGUUGGGUUAAGUCCCGCAACGAGCGCAACCCUUGUCAUUAGUUGCUACGCAAG